RNAcentral lists this ribosomal RNA (843 nucleotides) under uncultured bacterium. RNAcentral describes it as "bacterial SSU rRNA". It matches the Rfam family "Bacterial small subunit ribosomal RNA", at positions 54 to 888 of the family's 1533-position model. The record is from RNAcentral.
CAUGCAAGUCGAGGGGCAGCGGGAUUGAAGCUUGCUUCAAUUGCCGGCGACCGGCGCACGGGUGAGUAACGCGUAUCCAACCUUCCGCUUACUCGGGGAUAGCCUUUCGAAAGAAAGAUUAAUACCCGAUGGUAUCUUAAGCACGCAUGAGAUUAAGAUUAAAGAUUUAUCGGUAAGCGAUGGGGAUGCGUUCCAUUAGGCAGUUGGCGGGGUAACGGCCCACCAAACCUACGAUGGAUAGGGGUUCUGAGAGGAAGGUCCCCCACAUUGGAACUGAGACACGGUCCAAACUCCUACGGGAGGCAGCAGUGAGGAAUAUUGGUCAAUGGGCGAGAGCCUGAACCAGCCAAGUAGCGUGAAGGAUGACGGCCCUACGGGUUGUAAACUUCUUUUGUGCGGGAAUAAAGGAACCUACGUGUAGGUUUUUGCAUGUACCGUAACGAAUAAGCAUCGGCUAACUCCGUGCCAGCAGCCGCGGUAAUACGGAGGAUGCGAGCGUUAUCCGGAUUUAUUGGGUUUAAAGGGAGCGUAGACGGGUUUUUAAGUCAGCUGUGAAAGUUUGGGGCUCAACCUUAAAAUUGCAGUUGAAACUGGAGACCUUGAGUACGGUUGAGGCAGGCGGAAUUCGUGGUGUAGCGGUGAAAUGCUUAGAUAUCACGAAGAACCCCGAUUGCGAAGGCAGCCUGCUAAGCCGCCACUGACGUUGAGGCUCGAAAGUGCGGGUAUCAAACAGGAUUAGAUACCCUGGUAGUCCGCACGGUAAACGAUGGAUACUCGCUGUUGGCGAUAGACUGUCAGCGGCCAAGCGAAAGCGUUAAGUAUCCCACCUGGGGAGUACGUCGG